AGCAUCCUGAGGCCAGAGGUCAGCUCAGAUAUGGUCAGUGCGAUCCUGCACAGGACCAUGGAGGCUGUUAUUGGGGGCCCAGAAAAGGAGGAGGACAGAGAAGAACUGAAGCGGCACUUCCAGAGUCUGCUGGGGGGUCUCCACUUCAGAGAUGAGCAUCACAAUUGUCCACACAACUUUCCAGGCCAUCCUGGAGGAAAAGAAUGAGAAGACAGGGAGGUGUGUCCUUAGUCCUCUUUACUUUUCGUGCUCCAGGUGAUCACAGUUUUUGAGGCAGCAGCACUGAGGGGCCUUUGGACCACCCAGCUGCCCAAGAAUCGCACUGCAGAGUCCAUUCUGGUUGCGUGAGGGACCCCAGGAGGGAGCUGUCAGGGAUGGGCAAGCCAAGCCUGGAGUUGCCCUCCUGAUGCCCCCGGAAGACUUGAAUUUCCUCCUCUGCUCCCUUCCAGGACAGCCUGGGGCGCCUGGGGGGUUUUGACGAGCGCCCCAUAAUCCAAACUUCUCCUCCGACCUCUGCCGUGCAAUAGUCCAAAGGAAGUUUCAGGCACUCCUGGAGGAUGAAAAGCAGGUGAACAGGAAGGAACUGAAGUUGCGCUUCCAUCAUCUGCCGCUCAGAGACCCCAAAUGCUCCGCACCUCCUCCUCCUGCUUAACAUAAGUGUCCGGGAGAUGGCAUCAGAGAUGACAAAUGAGAGCCAGGGACUCUGU
Zootoca vivipara (common lizard) is the source of this 707-nucleotide non-coding RNA. Lineage: Eukaryota; Metazoa; Chordata; Lepidosauria; Squamata; Lacertidae. The record is from RefSeq and is a predicted model, not a curated record.